AUUGAACGCUGGCGGCAGGCCUAACACAUGCAAGUCGAGCGAGCGGCGGACGGGUGAGUAAUGUAUGGGGACUGCCCGAUAGAGGGGGAUAACUACUGGAAACGGUAGCUAAUACCGCAUACUAUCGGAUAACCCAUAUGGGAUUAACUAGUAGGUGAGGUAAUGGCUCACCUAGGCGACGCUCCCUAGCUGGUCUGAGAGGAUGAUCAGCCACGCGGGGACUGAGACACGGCCCAGACUCCUACGGAGGGAGCAUUGAGGAAUAUUGGACAAUGGGCGCAAUCCUGAUGCAGCCAUGCCGCGUGUAUGAAGAAGGCCCUAGGGUUGUAAAGUACUUUCAGUCGGGAGGCGUUACCGACAGAAGAAGCACCGGCUAACUCCGUGCCAGCAGCCGCGGUAAUUC
This 403-nucleotide ribosomal RNA is filed under the name uncultured bacterium. Its description in RNAcentral is "partial 16S ribosomal RNA". It matches the Rfam family "Bacterial small subunit ribosomal RNA", at positions 30 to 526 of the family's 1533-position model. The record is from RNAcentral.